AAUCAACGCUGGCGGCGUGCCUCAGACAUGCAAGUCGAACGAUUAAAGCUCUCUUCGGAGAGUGUAUAGAGUGGCGCACGGGUGAGUAACGCGUAAGUAAUCUACCUUUGAGUGGGGAAUAACCCGGGGAAACCCGAGCUAAUACCGCAUAAUGCAGCGGCACCGCAAGGUGACAGUUGUUAAAGGAGCAAUCCGCUUAAAGAGGAGCUUGCGGCAGAUUAGCUAGNGGUAAGGUAAUGGCUUACCAAGGCUUCGAUCUGUAUCCGGCCUGAGAGGGCGGUCGGACACACUGACACUGAAUAACGGGUCAGACUCCUACGGGAGGCAGCAGUCGGGAAUUUUGGGCAAUGGGCGAAAGCCUGACCCAGCAACGCCGCGUGAAGGAUGAAGUAUUUCGGUAUGUAAACUUCGAAAGAAUGGGAAGAAUCAAUGACGGUACCAUUUAUAAGGUCCGGCUAACUACGUGCCAGCCGCCGCAGUAAU
RNAcentral lists this ribosomal RNA (483 nucleotides) under uncultured bacterium. Its description in RNAcentral is "bacterial SSU rRNA". It matches the Rfam family "Bacterial small subunit ribosomal RNA", at positions 32 to 524 of the family's 1533-position model. The record is from RNAcentral.